GAUCAUAUGUGUUAACGGACAAAUUGUAUUGAAUAAAAAGUAUUUGGAGACAAAUCUUUACCAAGAGGGAUAUUCUAAUCUCUUAUGUUUGAAAAUAUGGUUGUGGCAUAUUCCCUAUUUAGUACUCAAUUACAGUAAAAAAAUGUUACAAUAACGACUGCUGACAUUUUUUAUUCUUUAUAUACCCAAUGGGUUUAUUUAUUAAACUUACCUGAAAACUGAAUUGCAAAAUAUAGGCUGAAAUAGCUGAUUUGAUACAAUUCUCCAAUUUGGCAACAAUAUAGACAGAUAAGAGUUAAAGUACUGAGACAGUCUGUCAAUUUCUUAGCAAAAAAUAAAAUAGGCUUGAGUAUUUUAAUUUAUUUUUCAUAACAGCAGAGUUUUUAUCGCAAUCUUUACUGAAAUUGUCUGUAUUCAUUCUCUGCCAUGCUUAC
Molecule: non-coding RNA, 434 nt
Organism: Pelobates cultripes (western spadefoot toad)
Lineage: Eukaryota; Metazoa; Chordata; Amphibia; Anura; Pelobatidae
Source: the annotation of a GenBank genome assembly